This 1490-nucleotide long non-coding RNA is filed under the name Helianthus annuus (common sunflower). Its description in RNAcentral is "hypothetical non coding rna". Lineage: Eukaryota; Viridiplantae; Streptophyta; Magnoliopsida; Asterales; Asteraceae. The record is from RNAcentral.
UACAGAGCUUCUCUGCAACACAAGGUAAAUUCGCCUCUCUCUCCACCACCCAAACUUCACAGUUCUGAACCCUAAUACCCAAAUCCAGUUUCCUCUCAAGCACCGGUCACCCAUCUCAAACACCACCUCCACUUCGCCGGUCAUCCACCCUCAUCAAGCACCGGCCGUCGCCACCACUCACACGAUCCAUCUCGUUCUCCGGUCACCCACCACUGUACUCCUUCUCCACCUUGAACCCCAAUCGCCGUACAAGGACGUAUUUCGGCCGUCUCCGGCGGUGGAAUGGACGCAUCAAUCACUGGGUAUGAAGAGGGGGUUAUCGCAUACAUGGUCAGCCUAGGGUUAGGAUGAAGAUGCAGUGAGAUGACGGCACAGCUUCUUACAGACCAACUGAAGAUUUCAAACGUCCUCAAAGAGCAGCCCUUCAUUAGGAAACCUACUUUAUAAAGAACUGUGUUGUUAGAUGUUAUAGGAAGGAUGGUGUGGUGAUCACAAGAGAACAUUGCCAGAGGUUAAAUCCAAGAUUCAAAUACGGAAACAAGACAUCUUUAAACUUGAUCGAGUGUUCGUACUUGCAAGAUAUUCUCCCUGGAAUUCUCAACCAGCUAGGUGUCCAUUGAUGAAGCUGGAAGAAAGUUCAGUGUGGAAAACCCAGGUGUCCAUGACGAUGAUUUGGUCUUCAUUCAAGAACCAACUAUUUUUUAUUUUAAACAACUAGAAGAACUUACGAGUUGCAGUGAAAAAGGGUCAUCGGUCACCACAGUUGGAUUAUCUUGUAAAAAACUGGGAAUAUAAAAAAGAAAAUGCUGUGAGAACUUCUAAGGGAAGAGCUUGAAAAUUUAAGCGAACAACGUCAAGUCGAGCUUAAGAAUUUAGAAUUAUUAGAACAUUGUUUUGAAGAAGAAAGCUAUGGAGGUGAUAAACCUCCUGUUUCAGUGUCGGAUGAAGUUCACGAAAUUGAUGGCGAGUAUGAUACAGUUACAUAUCGGAAGCAACAAGCUUUACAUGUGCGAAAGUUAUUGAAAGCCAGUGUUAACAAAGAGCAGAUACUUAUGGAGAAACUGAAUGGAAGCAUUAAAAACCUUGAAAAACAACCUUCCCCUGUUUUUUAUACAUUUUGUUCUUCAAAACGCACCCGUUGUUAUCGGCCAUCAGGAUAAAGAAUUGCAGUAUCGGUUCAUCGGUAAUCCUUUUCCAAAUUAGUGAUUGCUUAAGGCUGUCAUAUGAUGUAUAUCUUUGGCUUAUAAAACGCGGGGCAAAUCUACACAUUGAAGACAAGUAUGCUUUUUUCACAGUUUUUUAUUGUAUUUUAUUCAUUCUUUUAGCUUCUUUCAAUCAGUUAUUUCUUUUCCUUGACAUUAUUUUAUCACACAUCUUGUUUUGUUAAAUCUAAUUUUAUUUUAUCACACAUCUUGUUAUUGUUCUUGACAUGUACACUCAAUGGUGAAUUAAUUAGCUUAAUUGCUUAUCCGAUAUUAUUUUCAUUAGUU